Molecule: RNA transcript, 2888 nt
Organism: Phyllopteryx taeniolatus (common seadragon)
Lineage: Eukaryota; Metazoa; Chordata; Actinopteri; Syngnathiformes; Syngnathidae
Gene: eya4
Gene name: EYA transcriptional coactivator and phosphatase 4
Exons: 21
Source: RefSeq, a predicted model, not a curated record
UGCGCAUGCGCAGUGCCGGCUCCUCGCCUGGUCAAUAAUGAAGGUGCCUCUAAAUGGCUCUCAAGCAGCCCGGCCGCCGCUCCUCCAAUUUGGACUUGUCGACUCCCAGCAAAGUUGCGUUGCCUUGCCGCCGCUGUCAGCUCACUUUUUUCCCCCCGGAAAGUUACACGUCGUUAGCUUGUUGUUAAAAGUUUGUUUGGGGUCUACUCAGUUCUUAUCGGCGAUGUUGUAAACAAGUCGGUGACAGCCUGCGAGCAGCAGGGAGAGCAGAGCACGUCAGUAUGAUGAGCUGAUGAGCCAGAAAGUAAGCCGGACCUGGGAUCAGACUACUUGCUGGCACAACACAGUUGAAGCGUGCGAGGUUUGAAGCCCACAAAAUCAUGGAGGCCUCAGAGAACCUCAACGAGCAAAUGGUGAAGAAAUCAAACAGUGAUUCUCAUGUUCCAGACCCUUCGGACAGCAGGUCUAUGGAAAUGCAGGACCUAGCCAGUCCUCAUAAUCGUGUGGGCGGCGGCGAUUCCAGUGGCUCCAAGCUGGACAAGAACAACCUCGGCAGCCCCUCCACAGUCACCGCCAAUGGAACAGGAGGUGAAAACAUGACCGUUCUAAACACGGCUGAUUGGCUGCUGGGCUGCAGCAGCCCGCCCCCAGCGCCAACCUCCAAGGACUAUGUGAAAACAGAGCCGAUGAACAACAGUGAUGCAGUGACCACGACAGGCGACGCAGUACUGGACACGUACGCCGGCUCAGUCAUUACUAGCAGUGGAUACAGUCCUCGCUCAGCGCACCAGUACUCUCCUCCCCUCUACCCGUCUAAGCCGUACCCUCACAUCCUGUCCACGCCGCCCGCCCCGUCCAUGCCAGCGUACGCGGGCCAGCCGCAGUUCAGCAGCAUGCAGCAGUCCACCGUCUACACGUACUCUCAAACGGGACAGGCUUAUGGACUGUCUGGCUAUGACCUGGGUGUGAUGCUGCCAGGCAUCAAGACGGAGAGUGGGUUGGCCCAAAGUCAGUCUCCUCUCCAAACAGGCCUCAGCUACAGCCCCGGCUUCACCACGCCCCAGCCCGGCCAGACGGCCUACUCGCCCUACCAGAUGCCAGGUUCAAGUUUUACCCCUUCCUCAGGCCUCUAUGCCACCAACAACUCAGUGUCCAGUCCCGCCAACUACACUGCAACUCAGCAGGAAUAUCCCUCGUAUACAAACUUUGGCCAAAACCAAUACGCCCAGUAUUAUUCCGCCUCCCCGUACGGGACGUAUAUGACCCCCAGCAGCAUUGACGGCAACGGCACCACCGUCGCCGCCUACCAGUUGCAGGACCCUACGCCUGGAAUGACGGGCCAGGCAGCAGAACUUCACCCAGGGGACUUUGACACGGUGCAGAGGCCUUCCACACCCAUCAAGGACCUGGAUGAGCGAGCGUGCCGGAGCGGUGGAUCUAAGUCGCGGGGCAGGAGCCGUAAGAACAACCCCUCGCCUCCGCCAGACAGCGACCUGGAGAGGGUUUUUGUGUGGGAUCUGGACGAGACCAUCAUCGUCUUCCAUUCUCUGCUCACAGGCUCCUACUCACAGAAAUACGGCAAGGACCCUCCUAUGGCGGUCACGCUGGGCCUGAGGAUGGAGGAGAUGAUCUUCAACUUGGCCGACUCGCACUUAUUCUUCAAUGACUUGGAGGAGUGUGAUCAGGUACAUAUUGAUGACGUAUCAUCUGAUGACAACGGGCAGGACUUAAGUACUUACAGUUUUGCAACUGAUGGCUUCCAUGCAGCUGCGACCAGCGCCAAUCUGUGUCUCGCCACGGGCGUCCGCGGCGGCGUCGAUUGGAUGAGGAAGCUGGCCUUCCGCUACCGACGUGUCAAAGAGUUGUAUAGCACUUACAAAAACAAUGUGGGGGGUCUGCUGGGUCCCGCUAAGAGAGACGCCUGGCUGCAGCUGCGAGCCGAGGUGGAGGCGCUGACCGACUCCUGGCUCACUCACGCCCUCAAGUCGUUGUCCAUCAUCAGCUCCAGGAGUAACUGCGUCAAUGUGCUGGUGACCACGACGCAGCUCAUACCGGCACUGGCUAAAAUUCUCCUCUAUAGUCUCGGCUCCGUGUUCCCCAUCGAGAACAUCUAUAGUGCGACAAAAAUAGGCAAAGAAAGCUGUUUUGAGCGUAUAGUGUCCCGCUUUGGCACUAACAUUACAUAUGUUGUGAUUGGCGAUGGCAAGGAUGAGGAGCAUGCAGCCAGCCAGGAAAAGAGAGUUGCUUUGAGCGCAUAAUGCAAAGGUUUGGCAGGAAAGUAGUGUAUGUUGUAGUGGGGGACGGUGCGGAAGAGGAGCAGGCGGCCAAAAAGCACAACAUGCCCUUCUGGAGGAUAUCCAGCCACUCUGACCUGCUGGCGUUACAUCAAGCACUGGAGUUCGAGUACCUGUAACUGUUCAAAAUAAGGACUUGUCACAAUGGACGUGCGCAUACCUUUUUGUAAAACUAUUUAAGAAGAAACUAUACACUGCAAUUUUAUUUUUUUUCCUCAAACGCCUGGAUUUACAAACUGAAUGGUCUUAAAAGCAGCAAUGGAGGACUGAGAGGUGUUCCGAGAAUCCACACACACACAAAAAGGACUGUCCAGACUUAAAAGCCGGAGGUCUCUGUACAGACAGCACGUAGCCACGCCAGCUGGUUUUUUGCGUUUUCCUUUCUGGUCCGUCCGAUGCAGACGCCUGUGUAAAUUAUUUGCAAUAAAAGUGAAGGGCCGAAGUGUGGGUGAUGUGUUGAAGUUUUUUUUUGGGUGGGGUGUUGUUUUGGUGCGGUGAAUGGGGUUGUUGAGUAUGCGCAACAUGUGUUGUGCCUUAAUGUGUUUUCAUGUCUGUUCUUUUCAAAAGUGUAAAUAUUAAACGAGGAUAAAUAUU